This 460-nucleotide ribosomal RNA is filed under the name uncultured bacterium. RNAcentral's name for it is "partial 16S ribosomal RNA". It matches the Rfam family "Bacterial small subunit ribosomal RNA", at positions 338 to 795 of the family's 1533-position model. The record is from RNAcentral.
CCUACGGGAGGCAGCAGUGAGGAAUAUUGGUCAAUGGGCGUAAGCCUGAACCAGCCAAGUCGCGUGAGGGAUGACGGCCCUACGGAUUGUAAACCUCUUUUACCGGGGAGCAAAGAGCGGGACGCGUCCCGCCUCGUAUGUACCCGAUGAAUAAGCAUCGGCUAACUCCGUGCCAGCAGCCGCGGUAAUACGGAGGAUGCGAGCGUUAUCCGGAUUUAUUGGGUUUAAAGGGUGUGUAGGCGGCCUUAUAAGUCAGCGGUGAAAGUAUGUGGCUCAACCAUAGAAUUGCCGUUGAAACUGGGAGGCUUGAGUAUGUUUGAGGCAGGCGGAAUGCGUGGUGUAGUGGUGAAAUGCUUAGAUAUCACGCAGAACCCCGAUUGCGAAGGCAGCCUGCCAAGCCAUGACUGACGCUGAUGCACGAAAGCGUGGGGAUCAAACAGGAUUAGAUACCCCAGUAGUC